CAGCCGCCGCGGUAAUACGUAGGGGGCGAGCGUUGUCCGGAAUUAUUGGGCGUAAAGCGCGCGCAGGCGGUCCCUUAAGUCUGAUGUGAAAGCCCACGGCUCAACCGUGGAGGGUCAUUGGAAACUGGGGGACUUGAGUGCAGAAGAGGAGAGCGGAAUUCCACGUGUAGCGGUGAAAUGCGUAGAGAUGUGGAGGAACACCAGUGGCGAAGGCGGCUCUCUGGUCUGUAACUGACGCUGAGGCGCGAAAGCGUGGGGAGCAAACAGGAGUAGAUACCCUGGUAGUCCACGCCGUAAACGAUGAGUGCUAAGUGUUAGAGGGGUUAAACCCUUUAGUGCUGUAGCUAACGCGUUAAGCACUCCGCCUGGGGAGUACGGCCGCAAGGCUGAAACUUAAAGGAAUAGGCGGG
Molecule: ribosomal RNA, 410 nt
Filed under: uncultured microorganism
Description: bacterial SSU rRNA
Rfam family: Bacterial small subunit ribosomal RNA
Source: RNAcentral